CUGAAUAUGGGGGGCCCAUCCUCCAAGGCUAAAUACUCCUGACUGACCGAUAGUGAACCAGUACCGUGAGGGAAAGGCGAAAAGAACCCCGGCGAGGGGAGUGAAAAAGAACCUGAAACCGUGUACGUACAAGCAGUGGGAGCACGCUUAGGCGUGUGACUGCGUACCUUUUGUAUAAUGGGUCAGCGACUUAUAUUCUGUAGCAAGGUUAACCGAAUAGGGGAGCCGAAGGGAAACCGAGUCUUAACUGGGCGUUAAGUUGCAGGGUAUAGACCCGAAACCCGGUGAUCUAGCCAUGGGCAGGUUGAAGGUUGGGUAACACUAACUGGAGGACCGAACCGACUAAUGUUGAAAAAUUAGCGGAUGACUUGUGGCUGGGGGUGAAAGGCCAAUCAAACCGGGAGAUAGCUGGUUCUCCCCGAAAGCUAUUUAGGUAGCGCCUCGUGAAUUCAUCUCCGGGGGUAGAGCACUGUUUCGGCA
RNAcentral lists this ribosomal RNA (480 nucleotides) under Shigella sonnei. Its description in RNAcentral is "partial 23S ribosomal RNA". It matches the Rfam family "Bacterial large subunit ribosomal RNA", at positions 438 to 920 of the family's 2925-position model. The record is from RNAcentral. Lineage: Bacteria; Pseudomonadati; Pseudomonadota; Gammaproteobacteria; Enterobacterales; Enterobacteriaceae.